CAUGAGCCUUGGCACGUAUGCAGCUGGCUGAGAGCCAAUCAGGCUCAAGGACACGAUGCCCUUGGGCCAUCGGGAAAGUCCCUAAGGUGGGACAGGUAGCCAAAAGAAGGAGGACCAGAAUGAAAAGCCUGGGAAGUGUUAAACAAUCCUGAGCUUAGUUUCUGCAAUAUGUAUGAGUUGAUGAUGUUCCAACUAGAUAAAAGAUGACUGAGCUAUCCAUUAAAGUUGAAGUUCACUGUUCACUCAUAUUGAGCGUCUGGGUCUUCCUUCCGUCGGCAACAAAUUGGCGCCCGAACAGGGACAGGUCUGAACGGGAUUUGGACACUGCUGGCAGUGAUCCAGGGCCACGGUUGGAUGGAAUAAAGGAGAAGCCGGUCCUGCAAUGCAGCCCAGGAGGUGAAAAGGACAAGAAUCCCCGCACCCGCGCCGGGAAGGUGAAAAGGACGUGGAGUCCCCCGCACCCGGGAGUGGAUCCCACCGGUCGCGCGUCGCCGAGAUCUGCAGCUCGGAAGGUGGAAGGGAGUCCCCGCACCCGGGAUGAGCCUAUUUAGUGUCCCGCCGGAAAAGCGCCGCCGAGGUCUUUGCAAAGGCUGCAAUCGACGUAUAUAAAGGGCCAACCUGGGUUCCUAGUCGAUGUGUUAAACCAGCCAUUGAAGAAAAGUCAUCAAGUACAAAUAACAGCAACCAUGGCUGAUCUAACGGCACAAGGGAUUUUGGUUGCAUUAUCUUUGACAAUGACGGUUGGACGUAAUAGUGCCAUCCUAAGCAAAAUCGAACCUCAAACCAAUAUGUGGGUCACUUGGGCAAAUCAAACCGGACAAAGUUCAUUUUGCCUAUUCCUCGCUUCUGCGUCUGAUCCUUUUGUUGAUGAGUUGAAUAUGUUUGAAAUGGUUAAGGGAUCAUACGCAAAAAAUUGUAGUACAAGAUAGUUGGUUUGAAGG
Molecule: non-coding RNA, 941 nt
Organism: Anas platyrhynchos (mallard)
Lineage: Eukaryota; Metazoa; Chordata; Aves; Anseriformes; Anatidae
Source: RefSeq, a predicted model, not a curated record